Molecule: ribosomal RNA, 253 nt
Filed under: uncultured bacterium
Lineage: Bacteria
Description: partial 16S ribosomal RNA
Rfam family: Bacterial small subunit ribosomal RNA
Source: RNAcentral
UACGUAGGGGGCGAGCGUUGUCCGGAAUUAUUGGGCGUAAAGAGCUCGUAGGCGGUUCUUUAAGUCGGGUGUGAAAUCUCAGGGCUCAACUCUGAAACUGCACCCGAUACUGGAGAACUUGAGGCAGGUAGGGGAGAUCGGAAUUCCUGGUGUAGCGGUGAAAUGCGCAGAUAUCAGGAGGAACACCGGUGGCGAAGGCGGAUCUCUGGGCCUGUUCUGACGCUGAGGAGCGAAAGCGUGGGGAGCAAACAGG